RNAcentral lists this ribosomal RNA (496 nucleotides) under uncultured bacterium. RNAcentral's name for it is "partial 16S ribosomal RNA". It matches the Rfam family "Bacterial small subunit ribosomal RNA", at positions 28 to 506 of the family's 1533-position model. The record is from RNAcentral.
GAUGAACGCUGGCGGCGUGCCUAAUACAUGCAAGUCGAGCGAACGGACGGGAAGCUUGCUUCUCUGAUGUUAGCGGCGGACGGGUGAGUAACACGUGGAUAACCUACCUAUAAGACUGGGAUAACUUCGGGAAACCGUAGCUAAUACCGGAUAAUAUUUUGAACCGCAUGGUUCAAAAGUGAAAGACGGUCUUGCUGUCACUUAUAGAUGGAUCCGCGCUGCAUUAGCUAGUUGGUAAGGUAACGGCUUACCAAGGCAACGAUGCAUAGCCGACCUGAGAGGGUGAUCGGCCACACUGGAACUGAGACACGGUCCAGACUCCUACGGGAGGCAGCAGUAGGGAAUCUUCCGCAAUGGGCGAAAGCCUGACGGAGCAACGCCGCGUGAGUGAUGAAGGUCUUCGGAUCGUAAAACUCUGUUAUUAGGGAAGAACAUAUGUGUAAGUAACUGUGCACAUCUUGACGGUACCUAAGCAGAAAGCCACGGCUAACUACGU